Molecule: ribosomal RNA, 287 nt
Filed under: Pseudomonas aeruginosa
Lineage: Bacteria; Pseudomonadati; Pseudomonadota; Gammaproteobacteria; Pseudomonadales; Pseudomonadaceae
Description: partial 16S ribosomal RNA
Rfam family: Bacterial small subunit ribosomal RNA
Source: RNAcentral
CGUCGCAAGACCAAAGUGGGGGACCUUCGGGCCUCAUGCCAUCAGAUGUGCCCAGAUGGGAUUAGCUAGUAGGUGGGGUAACGGCUCACCUAGGCGACGAUCCCUAGCUGGUCUGAGAGGAUGACCAGCCACACUGGAACUGAGACACGGUCCAGACUCCUACGGGAGGCAGCAGUGGGGAAUAUUGCACAAUGGGCGCAAGCCUGAUGCAGCCAUGCCGCGUGUGUGAAGAAGGCCUUCGGGUUGUAAAGCACUUUCAGCGGGGAGGAAGGCGGUGAGGUUAAUAA